RNAcentral lists this non-coding RNA (254 nucleotides) under Nippostrongylus brasiliensis. Its description in RNAcentral is "Eukaryotic large subunit ribosomal RNA". It matches the Rfam family "Eukaryotic large subunit ribosomal RNA", at positions 108 to 358 of the family's 3401-position model. The record is from Rfam by way of RNAcentral. Lineage: Eukaryota; Metazoa; Nematoda; Chromadorea; Rhabditida; Heligmosomidae.
CGCACAAGUCUCGCACCCUCUCGGGGUCACAUUCCCAAGAGGGUGCGAGACUUGUGCGGAUAGCGGAGCAAAGCGAUCUCGCACCCUCUCGGGGUCACAUUCCCAAGAGGGUGCGAGACCUGUGCGGAUAGUGAAGCAAGCUGAACGAUCAUACCUUGGAGUCGGGUUUCUCGAAAGUGCAGCCUAAAGUGGUGAUAAACUUCAUCUAAGGCUAAGUAUAGACGCGAAUUCGAUAGCCAACAAGUACUGUGAAG